RNAcentral lists this ribosomal RNA (460 nucleotides) under uncultured bacterium. RNAcentral describes it as "partial 16S ribosomal RNA". It matches the Rfam family "Bacterial small subunit ribosomal RNA", at positions 338 to 795 of the family's 1533-position model. The record is from RNAcentral.
CCUACGGGCGGCAGCAGUGAGGAAUAUUGGUCAAUGGACGCAAGUCUGAACCAGCCAUGCCGCGUGCAGGAAGACGGCUCUAUGAGUUGUACACUGCUUUUGUACGAGGGUAAACGCAGAUACGCGUAUCUGUCUGAAAGUAUCGUACGAAUAAGGAUCGGCUAACUCCGUGCCAGCAGCCGCGGUAAUACGGAGGAUUCAAGCGUUAUCCGGAUUUAUUGGGUUUAAAGGGUGCGUAGGCGGUCGGAUAAGUUAGAGGUGAAAUCCCGAGGCUCAACUUCGGAAUUGCCUCUGAUACUGUUCGGCUAGAGAGUAGUUGCGGUAGGCGGAAUGUAUGGUGUAGCGGUGAAAUGCUUAGAGAUCAUACAGAACACCGAUUGCGAAGGCAGCUUACCAAGCUACUUCUGACGUUGAGGCACGAAAGCGUGGGGAGCAAACAGGAUUAGAAACCCCGGUAGUC